UGCCUCGAUGUGUUGCCCGUUCACUGCGUCCUCCGGUGGAUGUGGCGUCAACCGAGGCAUACAGUAAAUCUUGGAUCGGCCUUUGGGAGGCUUCCCGUCGGAGGCCUCGUCCUAAGUUCUAUACCAAGAACAGAA
This is a small nucleolar RNA of Salarias fasciatus (jewelled blenny), 135 nucleotides long. The record is from Ensembl. Lineage: Eukaryota; Metazoa; Chordata; Actinopteri; Blenniiformes; Blenniidae.